GUAACGGGUAUUUGAUAGUCGAGUAACUCGACUAUAGCAUUUUCUCUUGUAUUUUUAAUCAUCCUCGAUCUAAGGAACAAUAAAAGCUAGAAAGCUUAAAUUAAGCAUGCAGGUUCCAAAGACAUGUUGCCAAGCUUAAGUAUGAAAUUUUCAAAAAUACCUUAAGCAAGUGAAAUUACACUUUAAAUGGCAAUUGAUAGUUAGUGCAUACUCAUUUCCAUAUUCUGAUCUAGGAAGGAUAUCAAUUGUGUCUAAUAGAACUAGAUCAAAUGAUAUUUCUGGUGUUUUGGUAAUGGUGUCUGUUUUUGUGGUCUGUAAUUUGUGACCAGUAAUACAUUUUUGUAAUUAUUUCUCGAGGUUCUAGAAAUUCCUGACAACCUUUAGAAGAAACGUCAACAAAUUUUUUAAAUUCGUCGUCUUUUUUUCUAAAAUAUAACUAUGUCAAAAUUUGGUACGGAAUUUGGUAAUUUGAAGUCGACUGUUGUAAAUUUUACGUAGAAAUCUGUAUAUGUGGCAAUACCAGUUAAGUUCCACCUGACCAUUGCCUGUGGUGAGAUUCAGAUGCUGAGAUCCCUCGCGACUACAGAACUGUUCCUGAUGUUAAAGCGGUACCCCUAUCACUAAUGAUGCUUUCCAAGAACUGCUGCUUGUUUUCCGAAAUUUUUCACUACUCCCUCGGUUUCCGUUGACUUUGUAGAUAAAAGCCAAAUAAAUAUGGAAAAUCCAUCCACAACAGCCAAAUUGUGGGUAUAUCGUUUAUUUGUGGGAAUGCCCGAAUAGUUGUUUGCAAAUCAAUAGAAAAUGGAAAAAAAAAAAAUAAUAAAUAAUAAAAUUGCCAACAUUUUUAAAAUUGUAGCCGUAGCUGUCACGCAAGUGCUGCGUUGGAACCGAAAGAAUCUGCAAGGCUAAUUUUAAACUAAACUAGGAUUUCGAUAUUCAUACGGUAGAUGAGCAGAAAGAUGGACAUAAACUGAUAGGCUCGAUAAGUGAUUGUGAUUGAAAACGUAUCUGGGAUAUAGACCGAAACUUGCAAGACAAACGAAAUAUAUUCCAUUUUUAGUUUAAUGAAGUUUUUUGGUGUUCUUAAAGAAGAAAUAUGGAAAGGUAAAUUAAUUUGUCGUAAAAAAAUUUUUUAUUAGGUCUUUGAAGGAGGGAUCGGCAAUAGUUUUUUCGGUGUUCCUUAAUUGCUUAAAUAAUCUAGAUGACACGAUGCCGUUUCACAUAUAUAUUAUAUGGGCAUAUUCUUUUACUUAAUACAGAAGCUAUCUCGUAACCAUUGUUGGAAACUGGGUGUUAAGCCUUAACUUCCUAUUAACGAUCUUUGAAUAUAUUUUUUGAGCUAAUCAAAAACGUUCUCGGUUUUAAUAUCCUCUGAAAAGAUUCAAAAUUCCUGGUAUCACUCAAAUUAUUAGUCCAAAAAAUAAUCUUUAAAGAAAUGUGGAAAAUUAGUGAGAUUUUAAUUUUUGGAAACUUGGAAACGUUUACUUGAAAUAAAUUUCUUGGUGUUUAACUUACGCUCAUUUUUUCAGCUUGUUUGGCUUAAAGCUGAAUGAAGAAUCAAAAAUGAAAAAAAUAACACUUUUUUAAUAUAAAGCUAAAUAAACAAUUAAAGACGAGGAAUAAACUUUGUAUUGAC
Drosophila yakuba is the source of this 1636-nucleotide long non-coding RNA. RefSeq lists it as uncharacterized. The transcript has 2 exons. Lineage: Eukaryota; Metazoa; Arthropoda; Insecta; Diptera; Drosophilidae. The record is from RefSeq and is a predicted model, not a curated record.